This 119-nucleotide ribosomal RNA is filed under the name Erythranthe guttata (spotted monkey flower). Lineage: Eukaryota; Viridiplantae; Streptophyta; Magnoliopsida; Lamiales; Phrymaceae. The record is from RNAcentral.
GGGUGCGAUCAUACCAGCACUAAUGCACCGGAUCCCAUCAGAACUCCGAAGUUAAGCGUGCUUGGGCAAGAGUAGUACUAGGAUGGGUGACCCCCUGGGAAGUCCUCGUGUUGCACCCC